This 1178-nucleotide long non-coding RNA is filed under the name Phascolarctos cinereus (koala). Its description in RNAcentral is "lncRNA (ENSPCIG00000032241.1)". Lineage: Eukaryota; Metazoa; Chordata; Mammalia; Diprotodontia; Phascolarctidae. The record is from RNAcentral.
CCCCCUGACUCCAAAUGUAGUUCUUUGUCCUCUGUACCAUGUUCUGUCUCUACACCUUGCACGUAGUAGUAGGUGUUUAAUAAAUGUGUGUUGAAUUGAAUCUAAUUGAACAGUAGUGAACACUCCAAAUCCUCAAGGUUACUCGUCUUCCUCCUGAGAAGGUCACCCUCUGCCACUGGGUUUACAUCCAGGACAGGCUUGGCAGUGAUAACAGUAACUAGCGUUUACAUAGUACUUUCAUAUUUAUAAAGGGUUUCACGUGUUCUCUCAUCUGAUCCAACGCCACCCAUUGAAGUAGGUGCCAUUAUUAGCCCUCUUUUACAGAAGAGGAAACAGGCUGACAGUUAAGUGAUUUGUCAGGAUCACACAGCCAGUAAGUGUCUGACUCAGGACUCGAACUCAGGUUUUCCUGACCUCCUUACUUCAUCCAUUAUGCCACCAGAAUUGUCUUCCAAAGUAAUGGGGAGGAGGGGUGUGGCUCACCUGUUGCAGUGGGUGUGGGUGGACCGAGGGUGUGGGAUGCCAGGUGGAUGGGACGGGAAGCGUUCUCGAAUUCUGCGGUCAGCUGCCUCUGCAGCCAGGCUGACGUGGCCCAGGCCGGGCCAGCGGCGGGGGCAGCGAGCGGGGGCAGCGGCGGCAGCAGCGCUCGCUGUGGGCUCCGCAGGCUAGGACCCUGGCCGCCCGCCCCCGCCGCGGCCCAGCAGGGGGCGCUGCAGAGCCUCGGCUGGCUGGGGCGCUCCGGGAGCGCACGGAGCAGGAGCCACCUGUGCUGCGGCGCCGCUGCCGCCUGCGCCAGGCGAGAGCCGGGGAGGACAGCGGGCCGGGCUGGAGGCGGCGCCCGUGCGGCCAGAAGGACGCCCCGUCCUCCAGCCGCAGCCGCCCCUCCGAGCCCGGGGCAGCGAAGGCAGCGGCGGCUCCAUCGGCCGCAGCUGCAGCUGCUGCUGCGCUCGCUCGCUCCCUGCCCACCUGCCCCGCUGGGCGCCCCCUCCCUCCUCUCCGCCCGUGACGCCGACAGACCCUUGGCCCCGGCUGGCAUCGGGAGCUCGGCCCGGGGGCCCGGCCCGACCCGACCCAGAGCUAUGAACACAGCCCGCCGCAGACGGGGCUUCCCGGGCCCGGCCCGAGCCCCCCGCACGCUCCUGCAGCAGCUGUCCGGGCCGCGGGCGAAUAAACCAUAA